Molecule: RNA transcript, 2494 nt
Organism: Zalophus californianus (California sea lion)
Lineage: Eukaryota; Metazoa; Chordata; Mammalia; Carnivora; Otariidae
Gene: MRAP
Gene name: melanocortin 2 receptor accessory protein
Exons: 5
Source: RefSeq, a predicted model, not a curated record
UCUGUCGGAAUAAAUGCAGCUGACUGGUUCGUUCAUGGGGGCUUUAGAUAAAAGCUGGGAGAUGUUCUCAGUUGGGACAAGAGGGCUCUUUCAGUUUAAUUAAUUGGCGACACGUACAUGAGAGAGGCUACAAGUUCAGGGCUGACAUCACUCAAUUUCUGCCCUCAAAUAUUAAAUCUAAGUCAGUGAUUCGCUGGUUGCUCAAUAGCACCAAGAAUCGCCUUAAUGUAAGUCAAGGGCACCUCCAGCCUUUUAUUUUGGUUUUAUUAAUUUUUUUAAGUAGUAAAGCAGAGAGCGAGUGUCUUUCCUAAGCCCUAUUUGGCAUCUUGUCUUUCAAGGGGCCCAGGUACCCGUUUUCCCCUUCUUACAUGGAGGGGCAUUCUUGAGCUUCACUGGAAACCCUGGGCUCCUGCCUCGCAGCUCUGUUUGUUUUGGACUUUUAUCAAGGAGGGGCGGGGUGGAAAGUUCUACGUGGGGGCAGAGAUGUCAAGCACAGCCCCCUGGCCUUUCUCCCAGCCAAACAGCUCUGAUAAGUGGGCAGGCCUUGAGCCCGGAGACCCAUAGACACACUUGGAUGAAAUCAGUUGGCCAGUCCCUCCAAGGGCUCUGACCAGCUCCGGAUGCGCCGCCCCCCCCCCCCCCCCCCCGCCAGCACCACAGACAUGGCCAACCAGACCAACGCCUCCACCCUGUACAACAGCUACGAAUACUACCUGGACUACUUGGACCUCAUUCCCGUGGAUGAGAGGAAGCUGAAAGCCAACAAAUCUCCUGAAUAGUGCCUGGCACAGUCUCCGCGGGAUGAAUAAAUAAACAAAUGUGAACAGCUCCAGACCAGCCCAGGCCUGGCUGAACCAGCCAACAGCUCUGCUACCCCAUGGCCGAACCACAUCUCCUUUGAGGUCUGAACCUCUCCCAGCUAUGUCCUUCCCUGGUGUGAUGGGCUGGACUGUGCCCCCCCAACCCAAUUACUAUAUUGAAAUCCUAACUCCGGUACUUAAGAACAUGACACUAUUUGGAGAAGGGGGUCUUGAAAGAGGUGAUUAAAUUAUAUUGCGGUCAUAAGGGUGAGUCCUAAUCCAGUAUGACCAGUGUCCUUAGAGGAGGAGACCAGGACACAGACACACGCAGAGGGAAGACCAUGUGAGGACACAGACCGAGGACAGCCAUCUACACGCCAAGGAGUGAGGCCUUGGAAGAACCAACCCUGUGGACCCCUUGAUCUUGGACUUCCAGGCUCCAGGAUUGUGAGAAAAUAAAUUUCUGCUCUUUAAGCCACUGUCUUCGUCUGUUCAGGCUAAUAUAACAAAAUACCAUAGACUGGGUGGCUUAGAAAACAAGGAUGUAUUUCUCACAGUUCUGCAGGCUGAGAAGUCUAACAUGAAGACACCAGCGUGGUGGCGUCUGGGUGAGGGAACUUCUCCUGCUUCAGAGCUGUUCCUCUGGGUUGGAUCUCUGACCCAGUCGAACAGACCAGAGAGAUUCACCUCCCAGUUCCGUGCAGAGGUACACAUCAAAGGCAGAAAGAGGCUGGGAAUGGAGCCAUGAACCAGGGAUGCUUUAAGGAAAAAUCUGUCACAGCCUGUAUCGACUUCCACUGAUGUGCCGGCUCUGGCAGCUUCAAUAAUAAGGUGGUCUGUUCAUCUGCUGCUCCCACAGCUGGGAGAGGAAGAACAGAAACAUGCCACUAACCCAAUCUCUUCUGAACACAAGGCAGAGAACUCAGUGAAAAGAGCGAGCAAAAGACCUACAUGUAACUCUUUUCUCACAUCAGAGCAAUCGAUUUUAUGUUACAACUUUAACCGAGACUUGUAACUCUUCAGCCAACGGUCAGCCCUAUGGAUAGGAGGACAUAAGCAGUGAAAGUGAUUUUUUUUUUUUUAAACAAGGUAUGAGACUGUUGACCUCGGAACGAAUUUCCCAUCGAGGUAGCCCCACCUAGAGGUGCUACAUGUGAAUGAUUCCAUUACUGCUCAAAAACUGCUUGGGGCUCUUCUUUUGGAACUGAUUUUGGUAGUGACAGCAUGUUCUAUGCGACAUCUACAGUGAUAAACUAUGUAUCUCUUUCGAGGGUGGAUUUGCUUUGGGGAAAUAGUUAAGAAUCACUCAUAAACCAAUCAGGUGAAUGGAAGGGAUGAUUGAGCUGAUUGGUACUGCCUGGGUGUUGAAAAUAAAAUAUGAUUUUACAAAGUAGCAAAACGUGUGUGUGUGUGUGUGUGUGUGUGUGUGUGUAUGAUAAUUCCAAAAGAAUAAUUUAUAAAUAUUUAUGAAUCUUUGGUAAAUGUUUAUAAAUGUUUAAUCAAGAUACGUAUUUUAGGAAAAUUUAUAUGCCUCUAUGAUAGAGAAUGAUUAUUGUGGAAGUCAGCAUUCAUUUGGAUUUGUAAGUUUUGGUACGCUCAUUUAAAAAGUCAGCUCUUUUUACUGAUUCAAAUGAAGAAGACUGGUUACAAUUAACAGAGUAUCAGACUCAAGAGAAGUUGAUUUCUCUCACAUG